Molecule: ribosomal RNA, 492 nt
Filed under: uncultured bacterium
Lineage: Bacteria
Description: partial 16S ribosomal RNA
Rfam family: Bacterial small subunit ribosomal RNA
Source: RNAcentral
AGUGAACGCUGGCGGUAGGCCUAACACAUGCAAGUCGAACGGCAGCACAGUAAGAGCUUGCUCUUACGGGUGGCGAGUGGCGGACGGGUGAGGAAUACAUCGGAAUCUACUUUUUCGUGGGGGAUAACGUAGGGAAACUUACGCUAAUACCGCAUACGACCUACGGGUGAAAGCAGGGGAUCUUCGGACCUUGCGCGAUUGAAUGAGCCGAUGUCGGAUUAGCUAGUUGGCGGGGUAAAGGCCCACCAAGGCGACGAUCCGUAGCUGGUCUGAGAGGAUGAUCGGCCACACGGGAACUGAGACACGGUCCAGACGCCUACGGGAGGCAGCAGUGGGGAAUAUUGGGCAAUGGGCGCAAGCCUGAUCCAGCCAUACCGCGUGGGUGAAGAAGGCCUUCGGGUUGUAAAGCCCUUUUGUUGGGAAAGAAAAGCAGCAGGUUAAUACCCCGCUGUUCUGACGGUACCCAAAGAAUAAGCACCGGCUAACUUCGUG